AGCUUUGCAUAGUGGCAGUAUCGUAGCCAGUGAGGUUUAUCCAAGGCGCAAUUAUUGCUAAUUGAAAACUUUUCCUAAAAUUGGUGAGUUGGAUCUACAAACAGUUCCUUUUAAAAAAAUUAAAAGAAGGCAUGCAUA
Small nuclear RNA from Lutra lutra (Eurasian river otter), 138 nucleotides. RefSeq annotates it as U4 spliceosomal RNA. The record is from RefSeq and is a predicted model, not a curated record. NCBI's taxonomy places the organism in Eukaryota, Metazoa, Chordata, Mammalia, Carnivora, Mustelidae. The transcript has a single exon.